GAGGUGGAAUACGAUAUUUGGUAUACAUAUUUCAAGCUGUGAAGGCAUCUUCUCAAAUUGUGGUAAAAGGAAAAGCCAAAUAAGGGGAGCCCCCAAAUGGCCAACUCUUCAAAAAAUUUCGAUCCUGCAUUCCAGGGAGUCGGCCAAAGAUUAGGGACAGAGAUCUGGCGUAUUGAGAACUUCCAACCAGUUUCUUUGCCAAAGUCUGAUCAUGGUAAAUUUUAUUCAGGGGAUUCUUACAUUGUUUUACAGACAACUGCUG
Molecule: unclassified non-coding RNA, 262 nt
Filed under: Hevea brasiliensis (rubber tree)
Lineage: Eukaryota; Viridiplantae; Streptophyta; Magnoliopsida; Malpighiales; Euphorbiaceae
Source: RNAcentral